UACGUAGGUGGCAAGCGUUGUCCGGAAUUAUUGGGCGUAAAGCGCGCGCAGGCGGUCCUUUAAGUCUGAUGUGAAAGCCCACGGCUCAACCGUGGAGGGUCAUUGGAAACUGGGGGACUUGAGUGCAGAAGAGGAAAGCGGAAUUCCACGUGUAGCGGUGAAAUGCGUAGAGAUGUGGAGGAACACCAGUGGCGAAGGCGAGUCUCUGGACGACUCCUGACACUGAGGCACGAAAGCUAGGGGAGCAAACAGG
This 253-nucleotide ribosomal RNA is filed under the name uncultured bacterium. Its description in RNAcentral is "partial 16S ribosomal RNA". It matches the Rfam family "Bacterial small subunit ribosomal RNA", at positions 524 to 776 of the family's 1533-position model. The record is from RNAcentral.